CAACCAGCACCUCAAGUGGUCAGGAUGAUUAUUGGGCCUAAAGCAUCCGUAGCCGGCUCUGUAAGUUUUCGGUUAAAUCUGUACGCUCAACGUACAGGCUGCUGGGAAUACUGCAGGGCUAGGGAGUGGGAGAGAUAGACGGUACUCGGGAGGAAGUGGUAAAAUGCUUUGAUCUCUCGAUGACCACCUGUGGCGAAGGCGGUCUAUCAGAACACGUCCGACGGUGAGGGAUGAAAGCUGGGGGAGCAAACCGGAGUAGAAACCCCUGUAGUCC
RNAcentral lists this ribosomal RNA (274 nucleotides) under uncultured bacterium. RNAcentral describes it as "partial 16S ribosomal RNA". It matches the Rfam family "Archaeal small subunit ribosomal RNA", at positions 473 to 747 of the family's 1478-position model. The record is from RNAcentral.